CCCUACGGGGUGCAGCAGGCGAGAAAACUUUGCAAUGUGCGAAAGCACGACAAGGUUAAUCCGAGUGUUUCCUGCUAAAGGAAUCUUUUGUCAGUCCUAAAAACACCGAUGAAUAAGGGGUGGGCAAGUUCUGGUGUCAGCCGCCGCGGUAAAACCAGCACCUCAGGUGGUCAGGAGGAUUAUUGGGCCUAAAGCAUCCGUAGCCGGCUGUGUAAGUUUUCGGUUAAAUCCAUAUGCUCAACAUAUGGGCUGCCGGGAAUACUGCACAGCUAGGGAGUGGGAGAGGUAGACGGUACUCGGUAGGAAGGGGUAAAAUCCUUUGAUCUAUUGAUGACCACCUGUGGCGAAGGCGGUCUACCAGAACACGUUCGACGGUGAGGGAUGAAAGCUGGGGGAGCAAACCGGAUUAGAUACCCGGGUAGUCCCAGCUGUAAACGAUGCAGACUCGGUGAUGCCCUGGCUUGUGGCCAGUGCAGUGCCGCAGGGAAGCCGUUAAGUUUGCCGCCUGGGAAGUACGUACGCAAGUAUGAAACUUAAAGGAAUUGGCGGGGGAGCACCACAAGGGGUGAAGCCUGCGGUUCAAUUGGAGUCAACGCCAGAAAUCUUACCCGAAGAGACAGCAGAAUGAAGGUCAAGCUGGAGACUUUACCAGACAAGCUGAGAAGAGGUGCAUGGGCC
RNAcentral lists this ribosomal RNA (678 nucleotides) under uncultured marine group I thaumarchaeote. RNAcentral describes it as "bacterial SSU rRNA". It matches the Rfam family "Archaeal small subunit ribosomal RNA", at positions 321 to 1000 of the family's 1478-position model. Lineage: Archaea; Thermoproteati; Nitrososphaerota. The record is from RNAcentral.